GCGUCAGUUUUCUACCUUCGUAGCUGAUGAUCAUGUCCUAUUUAAGCAUGAUCUAAUUAAACAAGGUAUGGGGCAGGGCCAGAUGUAAAAAUAUCAUAGAGAAUCAAGACUCUGCAGCUGCAACGCUCACUUUACUAUUUAUUUUUGGUUCAUUUUUGCAUAUUGAUAGUACAAAAGAGCAGAUAUGACAGAACAAGUAUUACAAUAAAGCAAUAUCUAAGCAUCUGGCUCUAAGCUCUAGAAAACUGACGCCAAAAUAAGUGAGUGUCCACCAUAGAUCUCUGAUGGCUCUUUUGUACUCUUCAUGUACUAGAAAAAGGAAAGACAGACAGUUUUAGCUUGAAUAUGAACAUUAUCAUUGCCUGUAUUGAUACAAACUCUUCAUUAACUUACAAUGGCCAUGAAAUACAUUAUCUCAUGAAUAAUUAAUGAGCAAACACUAUAUCCUAACCUAGGUUAUCUCUUUCCUUGGCAAUCUGUUGUAGAAAUUACAACAACGGUAACGAAUCGUUAUGAUGAAUUAGAUGAAGUUGUAUGUGAGCUCCUCCCUGACAAACAAACUGUAGUCUAGGUAACGGCCUUAUCAGUCAAGUAGGCUAAAAAUCUGUGUCCUUUGAUGUAAGCUUUGAUGUCUCUUUGUGCAUAUGUAGUUUAAAAAAAAAAAAAAAAAAAAGAAACCUUUGACUAGCUAGCUAGGAAGAGUAGCAGCAGUAGUAGUAGGAAGAGUAGCAGUAGUAGUAGCAGUGCAAGCAGGACUAGACUAGAUUAAAAAGUUGGUGGAACGAAAGCUGACCGUUUGGACGUCACCUGGCUGCCAGACUUUCAUCUGGACUCUUCCCCCUGAGUAGCUGGCCUUUCUCUAAGCCACAAAACUGAGCAAGAAGCUGAAGAAGCAGCUAGACAGAGACAUGUACCUAGCCUUGAGAAUUGGGAGGUGUGGCUCAACUAGUUAGCCCAGCCCAGAGGAAUUGUUACCGUGGGUACUGAACAACCGUAGAAGUAGGGCUACCCCUGGCUUUACUGAAUUAACUAGCUGUGUCUGCUGUCUAGUUGGACCAGAUUUAGCUAGAUAAUGGGGUAGAGAAUAGUUGAGCGGUGCUGUGUGUAGCUUGAACUGUACUGGCUGGCAAGAAUCUAGGAUCUGGACAGCUGUACAUCCAAAGGAGCCAGGGAGUGCCAAUCAUCUUCUCCCAGUCUCUGACACGCUAAACAAAACGAGCUAGAACUGGGAGUCCCAGCUAGAAUUGCUAGCCGGAUCUAGACUAAUAGAAUGACAUGGAGGCGUGGUGAGGCCGGAUCCACACUAAUUGAUCGACCUAAAGACGCUCCUGUUCCAGACUUUCACGAAUGGUAAGGAAAGGGUUAUGGGCAACAGUUGCACCUAUGCAUACACAUUUCGCUAUGAAUCUAAUUAUAAAACCUGUAAAGCCCACAAAAACACUCUCACAAUGGUGGUUCCAAUAGUUCUGCGUCAGUUUAUGAAGCACUGACAGUAUGACUUGCUCUGAAAUAUUGAUUUUAUAAUUAUAAGAAUGCUAGGGCAGGGCCAGAAACAAAAAAUGCAAGUAGACUCAUAAUUAGAGAAGAGUUAUUCUUGUUUUAGUCUGCUUUCUUUCUGCUCUACUGAGCAAUCCACGGUAUGUUCUCAAGUACUGAGCUCUCUAUGGAAUGAAAAAGGAGGAUCUGGUUAUUUCUGGCCCUCCAGUAGGUUGAUACCUUGCCAUGGAUACUGCAAGCCCCCCUGGUUCUGAGCCUUCUCCUGUCCAUAA
This is a long non-coding RNA of Halichondria panicea, 1769 nucleotides long. RefSeq lists it as uncharacterized. The record is from RefSeq and is a predicted model, not a curated record. The transcript has 3 exons. Lineage: Eukaryota; Metazoa; Porifera; Demospongiae; Suberitida; Halichondriidae.